AAUGAACGCUGGCGGCGCGCCUAAUACAUGCAAGUCGAGCGAGAAGACGUAGCAAUACGUUUGUAAAGCGGCGAACGGGUGAGGAAUACAUGGGUAACCUACCCUCGAGUGGGGAAUAACUAGCCGAAAGGUUAGCUAAUACUGCGUACGCUUCUUGGACUUCGGUUCAGGGAGGAAAGCGAUGCCGAGGGUAUCGCGCUCUUGGAUGGGCUCAUGUCCUAUCAGCUUGNGGUGAGGUAACGGCUCACCAAGGCUUCGACGGGUAGCUGGUCUGAGAGGACGAUCAGCCACACUGGCACUGCGACACGGGCCAGACUCCUACGGGAGGCAGCAGUAAGGAAUAUUGCGCAAAUGGGCGAAAAGCCUGACGCAGCGACGCCGCGCGGGGGAUGAAGGUCUUCGGAUUGUAAACCCCUUUCGGG
This 422-nucleotide ribosomal RNA is filed under the name uncultured bacterium. RNAcentral describes it as "bacterial SSU rRNA". It matches the Rfam family "Bacterial small subunit ribosomal RNA", at positions 29 to 440 of the family's 1533-position model. The record is from RNAcentral.